Molecule: long non-coding RNA, 1298 nt
Filed under: Sinocyclocheilus grahami
Lineage: Eukaryota; Metazoa; Chordata; Actinopteri; Cypriniformes; Cyprinidae
Description: lncRNA (ENSSGRG00000027114.1)
Source: RNAcentral
UUUUUUUUUUUAAGAAAUAAAUGAGACGGCCUAUGCUCUCGACUUUGGAUUUGAAAUCAGCAAUAUAACCAUGUCUGAGAAGCUUGAACUCAGGGAUGGCACCCACCUGACAAUACAAGACUCUAUAAACACAUUGGUAAGUUGGAGACAUUUCAGUAGUGUAGUAUUUUACAAACACUUGUUUUCUUCUUCUGUCUCUCUUUUUCAUUUGCCACAUUAACCUCAACAUAUUUAUAAACAAAUUCAUCUAAUUUUUUUCAGCUGGGCAAGAUGCUCCUCAGUAACUCCUCAGCGCCUCUCAUUAAGUUCCAAGCAGCUGAUUUCACGGGUAAUUCCACAGUAAUUAAGGCCAAUGUAGAGUAUGUUUUCUCACCAAGUGACAUCACGCAACCCAGCAUCUUCGAAGUCCUUGAAGAGGUUGAACUGCCUCCAUAAUCGUAUAGGUGUGCUGCUGCACUGUCAACCAUCUGUUACCUCACAGUUUAUAUGGUCAAACUGACAAACAAAUGUUAAACUUCCAUUUUUUGUCAUGUUUUAUAUGUCUUGCUUCAAAAACAACAAAUGCUGUAAUUGAAAGUCUGAUCCUCCGUUAAUUAUUACUUUCGUUUACAGCGAGCACUCUGACAACCACAACUUCACCACCGAUCUUGACUAGGAGGGGAAUUAUUAAGAUUCGUCUCGAGUUUAUCACACUGGGCCCAAGACCAAGUGAGAGUAAUGUUCUACAGGUGGUUAAAUCUAUGCUGGCCUCAAAUCUCACAACUAAACUAACCACGAGAGUAACAAGCGUGAGUGAACCUCUGUCCUUGCAGAAUGUUGAGUAUCUGGGUAUUAAUGACACCGCCUACGCACUCAUUUUUGCAUUUGAAAUAAGCAAAGUAUCACUGACAGAGAUAAAAAGGAAAGAAGCCUAUCAAGAAAUCCAAAAGAAGAUAAAUGAUUUGGUGAUCCAGAUACUAAAGGACCCCUCGGUUAAUCUGCUCAUUCCAGCCGAAUUCAAGGAUGAUCUCUUUGUGAUUGUGGCCAAUGUUACGUAUGUUUUCUCACAACAUGACAGCAACACGGCCUCCGGUUUCUUGGUCAGUGCCCUUUUCACGGCUUUUACCACACCAGUUCCAACCACCAUGAGCGCUACAACCUCCAACAAUGGUACAAACGUAGCAUGGAUUGUGGCUAUCAUUGUCCCCUGUGCUAUUGUCAUCGGGCUCGUACCUUGCUGGAUUCUCCUUUGCGUAAGUAUUAUGUUGACGGAAUGACAAAUAUGUGCAUUUGUUGUGAAGUGAUUAAUGACAACAGGC